Molecule: unclassified non-coding RNA, 277 nt
Filed under: Clostridioides difficile
Lineage: Bacteria; Bacillati; Bacillota; Clostridia; Peptostreptococcales; Peptostreptococcaceae
Description: 16S-23S ribosomal RNA intergenic spacer (ISR)
Source: RNAcentral
ACCUACUGUUUAAUUUUGAGGGUUCGUUUUUACGAAUACUCAAAAUUAGCACUUUUAGCAACAGAAUAAACUGAACGCAUGUGAAGUUUGUUUGUUGGCGCUGUGCAUUAGCACUUUAAGCAACGGGAUUUAUCCGUUGGCGCUGUGCUUUAGCACUUUGAAAACUGCAUAUAUAUUUAGUGAUAUGACAUCUAAUUUGUAAUAUAUAAAGCUGAUAACUUUUUAAAAUUAUCGAAGUUGAUAGCUUCUAAUCUAUCAAACCUUUUUAACUGGUCAA